UAGGGAAUCUUCCGCAAUGGACGCAAGUCUGACGGAGCAACGCCGCGUGAGUGAAGAAGGAUUUCGGUUCGUAAAACUCUGUUGUUAGAGAAGAACAGCGCAUAGAGUAACUGUUAUGCGUGUGACGGUAUCUAACCAGAAAGCCACGGCUAACUACGUGCCAGCAGCCGCGGUAAUACGCAGGUGGCAAGCGUUGUCCGGAUUUAUUGGGCGUAAAGCGAGCGCAGGCGGUCAAUUAAGUCUGAUGUGAAAGCCCCCGGCUCAACCGGGGAGGGUCAUUGGAAACUGGUUGACUUGAGUGCAGAAGAGGAGAGUGGAAUUCCAUGUGUAGCGGUGAAAUGCGUAGAUAUAUGGAGGAACACCAGUGGCGAAGGCGACUCUCUGGUCUGUAACUGACGCUGAAGUUCGAAAGCGUGGGUAGCAAACAGG
Molecule: ribosomal RNA, 429 nt
Filed under: Bacteroidota bacterium
Lineage: Bacteria; Pseudomonadati; Bacteroidota
Description: Bacteroidetes bacterium partial 16S ribosomal RNA
Rfam family: Bacterial small subunit ribosomal RNA
Source: RNAcentral